GGGGGAUUUUCCGCAAUGGGCGCAAGCCUGACGGAGCAAGACCGCGUGAGGGAGGAAGGCUCUUGGGUUGUAAACCUCUUUUAUCAGGGAAGAAGAUCUGACGGUACCUGAUGAAUCAGCAUCGGCUAACUCCGUGCCAGCAGCCGCGGUAAUACGGAGGAUGCAAGCGUUAUCCGGAUUUAUUGGGCGUAAAGCGUCCGCAGGUGGUUUUACAAGUCUGCUGUCAAAGCGCGAGGCUUAACCUCGUACAGGCGGUGGAAACUGUGAGACUAGAGUAUGGUAGGGGUAGCGGGAAUUCCCAGUGUAGCGGUGAAAUGCGUAGAUAUUGGGAAGAACACCAGCGGCGAAAGCGCGCUACUGGGCCAUUACUGACACUCAUGGACGAAAGCUAGGGGAGCGAAAGGGAUUAGAUACCCCUGUAGUCCUAGCUGUAAACGAUGGAUACUAGGUGUUGCCCGUAUCGACCCGGGCAGUGCCGUAGCUAACGCGUUAAGUAUCCCGCCUGGGGAGUAUGCACGCAAGUGUGAAACUCAAAGGAAUUGACGGGGGCCCGCACAAGCGGUGGAGUAUGUGGUUUAAUUCGAUGCAACGCGAAGAACCUUACCAAGGCUUGACAUGUCGCGAACUCUUGUGAAAGUGAGAGGUGCCUUCGGGAGCGCGAACACAGGUGGUGCAUGGCUGUCGUCAGCUCGUGUCGUGAGAUGUUGGGUUAAGUCCCGCAACGAGCGCAACCCUCGUUUUUAGUUGCCAGCAUUCAGUUGGGCACUCUAGAGAGACUGCCGGUGACAAACCGGAGGAAGGUGGGGAUGACGUCAAGUCAGCAUGCCCCUUACGUCUUGGGCUACACACGUACUACAAUGCUACGGACAAAGGGUUGCGAGCUAGCGAUAGCAAGCUAAUCCCAUAAACCGUGGCUCAGUUCAGAUUGCAGGCUGCAACUCGCCUGCAUGAAGGAGGAAUCGCUAGUAAUCCCAGGUCAGCAUACUGGGGUGAAUACGUUCCCGGGCCUUGUACACACCGCCCGUCACACCAUGGGAGUUGGCCACGCCCGAAGUCGUUACUCCAACCUUUCGAGGAGGAGGAUGCCGAAGGCAGGGCUGAUGACUGGGGUGAAGUCGUAACAAGGUAGCCGUACCGGAAGGUGUGGCUGGAUCACCCCCU
This 1161-nucleotide ribosomal RNA is filed under the name Stenomitos sp. WJT24-NPBG20. RNAcentral's name for it is "bacterial SSU rRNA". It matches the Rfam family "Bacterial small subunit ribosomal RNA", at positions 356 to 1531 of the family's 1533-position model. The record is from RNAcentral. Lineage: Bacteria; Bacillati; Cyanobacteriota; Cyanophyceae; Leptolyngbyales; Leptolyngbyaceae.